GAUGAACGCUGGCGGCGUGCCUAAUACAUGCAAGUCGAGCGAACGGACGAGAAGCUUGCUUCUCUGCUGUUAGCGGCGGACGGGUGAGUAACACGUGGAUAACCUACCUAUAAGACUGGGAUAACUUCGGGAAACCGGAGCUACUACCGGAUAAUAUUUUGAACCGCAUGGUUCAAAAGUGAAAGACGGUCUUGCUGUCACUUAUAGCUGGAUCCGCGCUGCAUUAGCUAGUUGGUAAGGUAACGGCUUACCAAGGCAACGAUGCAUAGCCGACCUGAGAGGGUGAUCAGCCACACUGGAACUGAGACACGGUCCAGACUCCUACGGGAGGCAGCAGUAGGGAAUCUUCCGCAAUGGGCGCAAGCCUGACCGAGCAAUGCCGCGUGAGUGAUGAAGGCCUUCGGAUCGUAAAGCUCUGUUAUUAGGGAAGAACAGAUGUGUAAGUAACUGCGCACAUCUUGACGGUACCUAAUGAGAAAGCACCGGCUAACUUCGUG
This 497-nucleotide ribosomal RNA is filed under the name uncultured bacterium. RNAcentral describes it as "partial 16S ribosomal RNA". It matches the Rfam family "Bacterial small subunit ribosomal RNA", at positions 28 to 507 of the family's 1533-position model. The record is from RNAcentral.